GAUGAACGCUAGCGGCAGGCUUAACACAUGCAAGUCGAGGGGUAUAGUAGCAAUACUAGAGACCGGCGCACGGGUGCGUAACGCGUAUGCAACCUACCUUUUACAGAGGGAUAGCCCCAGAGAAAUUUGGAUUAAUACCUCAUAGUGUUAUUAGAUGGCAUCAUUUGAUAACUAAAGUUCCAACGGUAAAGAUGGGCAUGCGUCCUAUUAGCUAGAUGGUAAGGUAACGGCUUACCAUGGCUACGAUAGGUAGGGGUCCUGAGAGGGAGAUCCCCCANACUGGUACUGAGACACGGACCAGACUCCUACGGGAGGCAGCAGUGAGGAAUAUUGGACAAUGGGCGCAAGCCUGAUCCAGCCAUGCCGCGUGCAGGAAGAAGCAUCUAAUGGGUGUGU
RNAcentral lists this ribosomal RNA (396 nucleotides) under uncultured bacterium. RNAcentral's name for it is "bacterial SSU rRNA". It matches the Rfam family "Bacterial small subunit ribosomal RNA", at positions 28 to 426 of the family's 1533-position model. The record is from RNAcentral.